UACGGGGGAGCAAGCGUUGUUCGGAUUACUGGCGUAAAGGGCGCGUAGGCGGCACCGCAAGUCGACUGUGAAAUCUCCGGGCUUAACUCCGGAAAGGUCAGCCGAUACUGCGGGGCUAGAGUGCAGAAGGGGCAACUGGAAUUCUCGGUGUAGCGGUGAAAUGCGUAGAUAUCGAGAGGAACACCAGUGGCGAAGGCGGCUCACUGGCCCGAUACUGACGCUGAGGCACGAAGCGUGGGAGCAAACAGG
Molecule: ribosomal RNA, 249 nt
Filed under: uncultured bacterium
Lineage: Bacteria
Description: partial 16S ribosomal RNA
Rfam family: Bacterial small subunit ribosomal RNA
Source: RNAcentral